RNAcentral lists this ribosomal RNA (422 nucleotides) under uncultured prokaryote. RNAcentral's name for it is "bacterial SSU rRNA". It matches the Rfam family "Bacterial small subunit ribosomal RNA", at positions 355 to 774 of the family's 1533-position model. The record is from RNAcentral.
UGAGGAAUAUUGGUCAAUGGGCGGCAGCCUGAACCAGCCAUCCCGCGUGAAGGAAGAAUGCGCUAUGCGUUGUAAACUUCUUUUUCAGGGGGAUAAAAUUCUGUAUGUAUACAGGACUGAAGGUACCCUGAGAAUAAGCAUCGGCUAACUCCGUGCCAGCAGCCGCGGUAAUACAGAGGUGGCGAACGUUGUUCGGAUUUACUGGGCGUAAAGGGUCCGCAGGCGGUUCGGUGUGUCGGAUGUGAAAGCUCACAGCUCAACUGUGGAAUUGCAUUCGAAACUGCCGAACUAGAGUACUGGAGGGGAGAAGGGAACACUUGGUGUAGCGGUGAAAUGCGUAGAUAUCAAGUGGAACACCGGAGGCGAAGGCGCUUCUCUGGACAGAUACUGACGCUCAUGGACGAAAGCUGGGGUAGCGAAAG